GACAGAGGUGGCGAGCGUUGUUCGGAAUCACUGGGCUUAAAGGGCGCGUAGGUGGUAGUGUAAGUCUGAGGUGGAAUCCUGCGGCUUAACUGCAGAACUGCCUUGGAAACUGCAUUACUUGAGUCAGUGAGGGGAGGGUAGAAUUCCCGGUGUAGCGGUGAAAUGCGUAGAUAUCGGGAGGAAGGCCUGUGGCGAAGGCGGCCCUCUGGCGCUGGACUGACACUGAGGCGCGAAAGCGUGGGUAGCAAACAGG
Molecule: ribosomal RNA, 253 nt
Filed under: uncultured Thermodesulfovibrio sp.
Lineage: Bacteria; Pseudomonadati; Nitrospirota; Thermodesulfovibrionia; Thermodesulfovibrionales; Thermodesulfovibrionaceae
Description: partial 16S ribosomal RNA
Rfam family: Bacterial small subunit ribosomal RNA
Source: RNAcentral